Molecule: ribosomal RNA, 449 nt
Filed under: uncultured bacterium
Lineage: Bacteria
Description: bacterial SSU rRNA
Rfam family: Bacterial small subunit ribosomal RNA
Source: RNAcentral
GACGAACGCUGGCGGCGUGCUUAACACAUGCAAGUCGAACGGAAAGGCCCUUUCGGGGGUACUCGAGUGGCGAACGGGUGAGUAACACGUGGGUGAUCUGCCCUGCACUUCGGGAUAAGCCUGGGAAACUGGGUCUAAUACCGGAUAUGACUAUGGCCUGCAUGGGUUGUGGUGGAAAGCUUUUGCGGUGUGGGAUGGGCCCGCGGCCUAUCAGCUUGUUGGUGAGGUUAUGGCUCACCAAGGCGACGACGGGUAGCCGGCCUGAGAGGGUGACCGGCCACACUGGGACUGAGAUACGGCCCAGACUCCUACGGGAGGCAGCAGUGGGGAAUAUUGCACAAUGGGCGCAAGCCUGAUGCAGCGACGCCGCGUGAGGGAUGACGGCCUCGGUUGUAACGUACUUCUAGUACAGACGAAGACGCAAGUGACGGUAGUGUACAGAAGAAGAC